GACGAACGCUGGCGGCGUGCUUAACACAUGCAAGUCGAACGGAAAGGCCCCUCUCGGGGGGUACUCGAGUGGCGAACGGGUGAGUAACACGUGAGUAACCUGCCCCUGACGUUGGGAUAACUUCAGGAAACUGGGGCUACUACCUGAGAGCUGCUCCUGCUGCAUGGUGGGGGUUAGAAAGUUUGGGCGGGUGGGGAUGGACUCGCGGCGUAUCAGCUUGUUGGUGGGUUGAUGGCUUACCAAGGGGUUGACGGGUAGCCGGCCUGUGGGGGUGACCGGCCACCCUGGGACUGAGGGACGGCACCAACUCGUAAGGGGGGCCAAGGGGGGGAAUAUUGAACAAUGGGUGGCAGGCGGAUGAAGCAACCCCGUGGGCGGGAAGACGGCCUUCUGGGUGAAAAACGGUUUCGCGAAUGACGAAGCUUUGUGUGACGGUACUGGAUGAAGAAGCACCGGCUAACUACGUG
Molecule: ribosomal RNA, 467 nt
Filed under: uncultured bacterium
Lineage: Bacteria
Description: partial 16S ribosomal RNA
Rfam family: Bacterial small subunit ribosomal RNA
Source: RNAcentral